GAGGCAGCAGUGGGGAAUWUUGCACAAUGGGCGGAAGCCUGAUGCAGCAACGCCGCGUGAGGGAUGACGGCCUUCGGGUUGUAAACCUCUUUUAGCAGGGAAGAAGCGGAAGUGACGGUACCUGCAGAAAAAGCGCCGGCUAACUACGUGCCAGCAGCCGCGGUAAUACGUAGGGCGCAAGCGUUAUCCGGAAUUAUUGGGCGUAAAGAGCUCGUAGGCGGUUUGUCGCGUCUGCUGUGAAAUCCCGAGGCUCAACCUCGGGUCUGCAGUGGGUACGGGCAGACUAGAGUGCGGUAGGGGAGAUUGGAAUUCCUGGUGUAGCGGUGGAAUGCGCAGAUAUCAGGAGGAACACCGAUGGCGAAGGCAGAUCUCUGGGCCGUAACUGACGCUGAGGAGCGAAAGGGUGGGGAGCAAACAGGCUUAGAUACCCUGGUAGUCCACCCCGUAAACGUUGGGAACUAGUUGUGGGGUCCAUUCCACGGAUUCCGUGACGCAGCUAACGCAUUAAGUUCCCCGCCUGGGGAGUACGGCCGCAAGGCUAAAACUCAAAGGAAUUGACGGGGACCCGCACAAGCGGCGGAGCAUGCGGAUUAAUUCGAUGCAACGCGAAGAACCUUACCAAGGCUUGACAUACACGAGAACGGGCCAGAA
This 651-nucleotide ribosomal RNA is filed under the name Microbacterium sp. RNAcentral describes it as "bacterial SSU rRNA". It matches the Rfam family "Bacterial small subunit ribosomal RNA", at positions 345 to 1005 of the family's 1533-position model. Lineage: Bacteria; Bacillati; Actinomycetota; Actinomycetes; Micrococcales; Microbacteriaceae. The record is from RNAcentral.